This is a long non-coding RNA of Homo sapiens (human), 392 nucleotides long. NCBI's taxonomy places the organism in Eukaryota, Metazoa, Chordata, Mammalia, Primates, Hominidae. The record is from Ensembl.
UGGAAAUCGGAUCUAGAUCCAGCUGGCCACAGGUCCUCAAUGAGAUUAAGCUUGGUGCUGGGGAUUACCAGUGAAUAAAGCACGCUGCCAGGGCCUUUCCUGAGUGACUGAUGCUGUGAGGAUGAGCAUGUGGUGUUUGCAUUGGAGGGACAAGGUGCCAACUUAAGUCAGCGCUUCUGAGAGCGGAUCAAGUGAAGUUGUAUCUACCAUGACCAAAAUCUCAUCUCCAGGAUCACUUGGUCUUGGAACUCUGAGCCAGCAUAUUAGAAAUCCAGCUGUUUUUCUGGGAGACCAUGUAAGAGACUCUGAGACUACAUGGAGAGGAAGAGGAACCAGGUGAGCUGUCUUCCAGCCUCUCCUGUCAGGCAACCAGACACUUGGGUAAGACUGUC